GACGAACCGUGCGAACGUUAUUCGGAAUCACUGGGCUUAAAGGGCGCGUAGGCGGGCGAACAAGUCAGGGGUGAAAGCUUCCGGCUCAACCGGAAAAGUGCCUUUGAUACUUUUCGCCUCGAGGGAGGUAGGGGCCUGCGGAACUUCCGGUGGAGCGGUGAAAUGCGUAGAUAUCGGAAGGAACGCCGGUGGCGAAAGCGGCGGGCUGGACCUCUUCUGACGCUGAGGCGCGAAAGCCAGGGGAGCAAACGGG
This 253-nucleotide ribosomal RNA is filed under the name uncultured bacterium. RNAcentral's name for it is "partial 16S ribosomal RNA". It matches the Rfam family "Bacterial small subunit ribosomal RNA", at positions 524 to 776 of the family's 1533-position model. The record is from RNAcentral.